Molecule: long non-coding RNA, 594 nt
Organism: Taeniopygia guttata (zebra finch)
Lineage: Eukaryota; Metazoa; Chordata; Aves; Passeriformes; Estrildidae
Source: RefSeq, a predicted model, not a curated record
CCUGCCCCGGCCCCGCUCCCGUUCCACCCCGGCCCGGUCCCAUCCCAGCCCCGCUCCUGUUCCACCGCGGCCCCGUCCCAUCCCGGCCCCGGGGCGCGGCUGGGCACGGGCAGAGGCGCUGCCGCCGGCUCCGCUCCCUCCCUGCCCGAGCCCGCGGCUCGAACCGCGCUGUCGCCUCGUCCCCGUGGUCAGCGUUAAUGGCAAACCACGGAGCUGUGUUAAUUCCUCACCUGCCUCUCAAGCCCUGCUCAUUUUCAAGGUGUUUGGGUUUGCCUUUUUUUUUUUUAAAAACAAGUUAAUGUGUCUGAUGAGUGAAUGGGAUCCCGAGCCCUUAUCCAGGGGAGGCAGUGCCACACGCUCCUGUCCUGGGGAUAGGAACAGCCAUGGCCGUUGCCAAAAAUAGGGCAACACAUCUGACCCGGUGAAUCCGUGCUGCUCCACCUGGAACAUCGGGGACAUCACUGCUCAGGAAAGGAAGAACAUUGGUGCUGCAGCAUCCUCGAUGGGAACACUCCCGCUCCACCCACGGCCCCCCUGCUUUAGGCUUUAUUGUAAUAAAUAUUAUUAAAUUAUUAAAUAUAAAUGCUGAAAUCA